Molecule: ribosomal RNA, 306 nt
Filed under: Pantoea sp.
Lineage: Bacteria; Pseudomonadati; Pseudomonadota; Gammaproteobacteria; Enterobacterales; Erwiniaceae
Description: bacterial SSU rRNA
Rfam family: Bacterial small subunit ribosomal RNA
Source: RNAcentral
GCAUGGCUGUCGUCAGCUCGUGUUGUGAAAUGUUGGGUUAAGUCCCGCAACGAGCGCAACCCUUAUCCUUUGUUGCCAGCGAUUCGGUCGGGAACUCAAAGGAGACUGCCGGUGAUAAACCGGAGGAAGGUGGGGAUGACGUCAAGUCAUCAUGGCCCUUACGAGUAGGGCUACACACGUGCUACAAUGGCGCAUACAAAGAGAAGCGACCUCGCGAGAGCAAGCGGACCUCACAAAGUGCGUCGUAGUCCGGAUCGGAGUCUGCAACUCGACUCCGUGAAGUCGGAAUCGCUAGUAAUCGUGGAU